This is a transfer RNA of Rasamsonia emersonii CBS 393.64, 73 nucleotides long. It matches the Rfam family "tRNA". Rfam says of the family: Transfer RNA (tRNA) molecules are approximately 80 nucleotides in length. Lineage: Eukaryota; Fungi; Ascomycota; Eurotiomycetes; Eurotiales; Trichocomaceae. The record is from Rfam.
GGGACAGUGGCGCAGCAGGGAGCGCGUUGCACUGAAGAUGCAGAGGUCACCGGUUCGAUCCCGGUCUGUCCCA